GUGGAUUAGAUACCCUGGUAGUCCACGCCCUAAACGAUGUCGACUGGGUGUUGGGGAAGCGAUUUCCCAGUACCGUAGCUAACGCGUGAAGUCGACCGCCUGGGGAGUACGGCCGCAAGGUUAAAACUCAAAGGAAUUGACGGGGACCCGCACAAGCGGUGGAUGAUGUGGAUUAAUUCGAUGCAACGCGAACAACCUUACCUACCCUUGACAUGUCCGGAAGCCUGCUGAGAGGCGGGGGUGCCCGAAAGGGAACCGGAACACAGGUGCUGCAUGGCUGUCGUCAACU
Molecule: ribosomal RNA, 289 nt
Filed under: uncultured bacterium
Lineage: Bacteria
Description: partial 16S ribosomal RNA
Rfam family: Bacterial small subunit ribosomal RNA
Source: RNAcentral